RNAcentral lists this long non-coding RNA (8397 nucleotides) under Populus tremula. RNAcentral's name for it is "long non-coding RNA (PTRE_LNC003150)". The record is from RNAcentral. Lineage: Eukaryota; Viridiplantae; Streptophyta; Magnoliopsida; Malpighiales; Salicaceae.
AUCAAAAUCCUACUAAGAAUAGGUUACUGAGCCUCGACAAAUUUUGGGUGCUUCAGAAUAUCAAAGCAUCACGGUGUUGGAAAUUCUGACUAAAUUCUACCACAACUAACGAUACCCUAAACUCUCUACCUCUUAACUUGAGAUGCUCAGGAAUUAAUCUCCACAUAUGGAGCACUAGACAGUUCGAUGGCUCAACAUACUUUAAAUUCAUCUUCUUUACCCAUCAUUCUUGAAUAUGCAGUUUAACUCGCGAAAGAGGUCUGCCACAUGCAUGCAUCCACCUCUCCAGAUCCAUUAGGUAAUGCAGAAGAAAGACAUUUAAGGACAUUAGUUCUUACCUAAGCAUCUCUCCCGACAGUAAUUUUGGUCCACUCAAUACUGGUGAGAUGCUGAAAUUAUUGCCAACAGCAUGGAACGAAGGGUGCCCAAGAGGCACUGGUCGAUCUGGAAUCUGUGGAACUUCAAUAUCUCCUUCUAACAUUUUCAGCGCAUCCAGAAUGGUUGGCCUUGAAACCACCAUUGUAUGAGCACAAAAAAUCCCAACAAGCACAAACCUUUCCAUUAUCCCCUUCGGAUUUGAAUUUGGAGAAUCACCACCUCUCAACAAAGAAGCAUCCAAAGCCUGUUCCACUUUUCCAGCUUUCACCAAUGACCAGGCCCGGUCUGUGAUCAAUAAAGCACGAGGUGACCCUGAAGAAGACAAAUCAAGAGCUUUUCUCCCGCACAUUAUCUCCAAAACAACCACCCCAAAGCUAUAAACAUCGCUCUUCUCAGUCAGUUGACCAUAAAGAGCAUAUUCGGGUGCUAUGUACCCAUGAGUUCCAGCCACUCUUGUCGUAAGAUGAGACUGCCCUUCCCUACUUUGCUUUGCCAACCCAAAAUCGGCAACUCUUGCUCUCAUAUCAGCAUCUAACAAUAUAUUUGUCCCCUUGAUAUCUCUAUGAUAUAUUCCAGGCUUGACUCCAUGGUGCAAAUAAGCUAAUCCCUUUGCCACAUCCAAAAUUAUGCUCUUUCUUUGAGGCCAACUUAACAAUUGCUUUUGAAUUUGAUUAACCGAUGAUGGAAAUAAAUGGUCAUCAAGAUUCCCAUUUGACAUGUAAUCAUAAACAAGAUACCUCUGAUUGCCUCUCUCAUCAGAAUUUACAUCAUCGUCAAUCACACAGCACCCUCUGAGGGGCAUCAAAUUCCUGUGCUUCAAGUUGCUAAUAAUCUCAACCUCAUUGCAAAACUCUACGUCACCUUGAAAAUCAGAUUCUAUAACCCUUUUAAUAGCCACCACUGUCCCAUCAGAUAAAACCCCCUUGUAAACAAAACUAAAUCCGCCUCUCCCAAUAAAAUUCUUCUGCGAGAAAUUGUCUGUUGCCUUCUCAAGAUCCCGAAUUUUAAACCAAAUUGAUCCUGUAUUCGGCCUCAGUUUAGGCCUAGACCCUUGUUGUUCAUCUAAAUCAAAACCAAACCCUGGAUUCUUUUUCCUUCUCCGUUUCUUAUCAUACCAAAGAUACAAUCCUAACAAACUAGAGAUUCCUAAAAUAGCAACACCAGCACCAGUCAAGCCAAAAACAAGAGCAGAAUGAGAAUUGCUAGCUGAACCAACGGUUGAAUUUAAUUCCAAACCAAAUAUACAUGAAACAACACCAUCACUUUCAGGACCAAACUAGUUAACAAUACCAGCAGCAUAAAGAACAGCAAAGUAAAAACAAUCUUGAGCAUGAGUUUGAUUACCAUCAGCAUACACCAACAACGACUUUGCUGUAUAACCAGCUCUAAGACAAGAACCACAACCUGUAAUAUCAGUAAGAUCAGACCGGCAAUCUGAUUCAAGAGAAGUCGACUUACCAAGUUGAUCAACCCAGUCUUGAGAUGUCUCUAUACGGGCACAGAUGUUUGGUGAUGUAACAAACUGUAAAGGGUUCAAGCAGUGAGAGACAAGAUUGUCGGAAAGAGAAAAGGAGCUGAGCUUUGACUGGUAAUCUUGAAGGCAAGAACUAGAGGUAGCUAAGUCUGGAAGUUGAAAAAGAGAUGUUUCUUUGAGAUGUUGAGAUAGGGCAACCCCAAAGAGGGAGAGUAUGGCUUGGCAACAUUGGGCCUUGCUUGUGGUGGUAGAAUUGUCAUUUUGAGCAAGAGGGUUGAAGUUUCGACAAAGAGUUUUGUUCCAUGGGAUUCUUAAGACAUAGUUAAGGUCCAUAGGGCAUAUGCUUGAAGUGGAGGUUUCUGCUGCUGCAUAGGUGAGAGGGAGACAGAAUGAUAUUAAGACAAGAAACCUUAAGAAAUCAAGAUUAGUGCUGCCCCCCAUGCCAAGCUUUAGAUUUUGCUAAGAAUAGGGUUGCUUAUGAUUUAUUGUUAUCUUGGCUUAUGAGCUCUUGCUUGAACUGCAGAGGAGAGGAAGAAGAAGACGAAGAAAUCAUAUGGAAGAAGAGAGGGAAAGUUCUGGUCAAACACUCACUUCAAGGGUUGGGGCCGCAGGAAGUUCAGUCGGUUAGCACCAUUCAAAUAAACAAAAAAUAAUCAUCCCAAUUAAUUUGGAUAAAAAAAAAGUUUGAAAAUCUUUUAAGAAUAAAAAAUUCCUGUAAUUCUUCGGAAUAAAUUUCAAAAUAUUCAGGUAAGGGGAAAAAAAUGUCACGGUAUCCUAAAUUACAUGAACUACCCCAACGCUCACCCUACAUUGUUAAUUGUUAUGAGUGCUAAACUCAGCUCGCCAAAUUUAGUUGAAAAAUCCACGAUUCUACUCUAAUAAUAGUUAGUUUUUCAAGUUAAAUAAAAAAAUUGUUUUAGUGAAAUCUAAUUAGACAAGCCUUUUCAAGUUGUUAAGUGAUUAAAACAAAAAAUUAUGUAAGAUGUUCUGUUUAGUAUUAUAAUAAUAAUUAUUAUUAUUUAAAAUAUUUUUUAUUUUAAAAUAAUAUUUUUUAUUUAAAAUUAUAAAAAAAUAAUUUAAAUAAAAAAUUUAAUUUCUUAAAAAAGUUUAGAUAGUAAAAACAAACCGUAAUUUGCAAGCUACAUGCUUGGAAGUGGACUAGACGUGCUCCAAAAGAUAGGGUUUGCUUUUACGAGGUAAUCAUAGUUAUGAAGCCGGAGGUCUGGCGGGUUGAUAUAGAACCGGUGAUUAGAUUGAUCUGGAUUUGUUAAAAGACCGGACGGUGCAAUAACUCGGUAAAACCUAGUUGACCCGGUGGGUCAAUCCAUGGCCUGAGCAGACCCGGAUAAGACCCGGCAUUUUGAAGAUGAUCCACUUGAGAUGAUUGCAAGCCGAUUUGGGUUUGGAGAUCUUAAGGCUUGGUGUUGGGUUCUAUUUCUUCCUUCUAGCCCUAACGAUUGAUGACAAUAACUUAAAGGAAUUGAAGGCUAAACAAGACCAAACUCACAGUGUUUCAGGAGAGAGAGGGGCAAUAGAUAGCAGUACCAGCACCAUAGGUUUUAUUAUCUUCAUCAAGUCUUUAAUAUCUCUCUCUUUUUCUCUCUAGCUGAUGUUUUCAAGCAUGUAGAAAUCAUAGGAAUUUACAGGGGAAAGAUGUAAAAGAGAGGAUUUGGGUGCGUUAAGGAGCAAGGACUCUGCUUCACCCCACGGGAAAGCAUGUCAAAGAGCCGGAGAGGAUAGAAAAACUUUGUGAGAAGAUGGUGAUGAGAUUAAUGUCAAAGAGAUCUCUGCACAAAACAACCAACGACCAAUAAUGUCACCCUCUCCCAUACCCAUGUCCUGCCAAAUUGGGUCCCUCUUCACCUUUUUAUUAUUAUUUUUCUUUCUCAUUUCUUAUUUAAGUCUUUAACCACCUGAUCUCAUAAAUAACCCAGGUUUUAUGGAUUGAUUUAAAUUAAUUCGGGUUAAUAUUUAAAAUCUAGAAUCUAGUUUUUUGAGUGGGUUAAUUUUUAAAUUGGUUUAAUAAAUAAAGGAUGGUAGGGCGUAACAUGGACGAAAGCUGCAAUGCUUUUACGAAAGGAAGACUGUUCACUGACAUGGCAUUUUUGCAGUUAUUGGAAAAGUCUUCACAUGAAUUUUUAGGAUUGUGGAAAUUUUUUUUUUAAAAGAAAUAUAUUUUACUUGAAAAAUAUUAAAUUAAUAAUUUUUUAGAGAUUUAUAUUGGUAUUGAUAUGUUAAUAUUAAAAAAAUCUAAAAUAAAAUAUUAUAUUAAUAUAUUUUUAAAUAAAAAAUAAUUUUUUAAAAAAACUAAACCACAAUAUCAAAUACACAACAAUUAAAUAUCUAUGUAGCUAUCUAUGUAGCAUCUCUAUGGCGGGAAGCUUUGCUAUCUUUUUCCUAUUAGAAUUUUUUAUAUUUUUGAUGCAUUAAUUCAAUACAAUAAAUGUAUUUUUAAAAUUAUUGGAGAAAAAGAGUUAAUCAAUCAAAAUGAAAACAAAAUUUUGAAAAAUAUAGUUAUUAAAUUGAUAUAAAAUUUAAACCGGAAAAUAAUACAAGUUAUUGGUUUGUUAAGUCAAUUAUGAAUUACCAAAUUAAUUUAUAUUAGUUUUUUUAUGAAAAAAUUCAUUUAAUUCUUUUGAUAUUAAUCCUGCAAAGUCAUCUAAAUUAGAUUUUAAAUCAUAAAUUCCGAAACUGAACCGAAGUUAGCCGCUAUAUUGGAAAGUACCGAUUGAAGCCAAGAUUACUGGCAACUUUUGACCUCCAUGACAGUGACAAAAGAACCUCCCUUAAUGACAGUGACAAUCAUCGACCAUUCCUCGUCUUUGGGCUGCACGUGACAUUUGGCAAGCAACAGUUGCACGCAAGGCAGAAAUUAAGCGAUUAAAGUAGCUAAGACAUUGUUGUCCUCUGCUCUGUACCUGUUCAUCGUUGGAAGCAAUGACUAGCUUGUAUCUUUUGGGUUUGUUUUUAAAAUAAUUUUUAUGAGUAUGUUUUUUUAAAAAUAAAUUUAGAAAAAAAAUAAUUAAACUUGAUUAGUUGAAUUUAGAUACAAGUUUAUUAAAAAAUAUAAUUAAAAUUUAUGUGUAAUAAAAAAACAUAUAAAUUAUUUAAAUUUAGUUACAUCAUUAGGUUUGUUUGUUUAAUUGCAGCUUUUGUAUUUGCUGUGUAAAAAAUGUAGUUAGGUAUUUGGUAAUACACCAAACUGUGUUUUAUACAGUGGGACCCAGUAAAAAAUUAAGUUUGAAACAUAAUUUUUGUGAAGUUGUUUUUACAUAUUUUUUUAACUUAGUUUCAUAAAAUUAUGUUUGUUUUUGCGUUUCAAAAACAUUUUUAAAAAAAUUUGAUAUUUUUUUAUUUACUUUAAAUUAAUUUUUUUUUGUAUUUUCAGAUCAUUUUGAUGCGCUGAUAUAAAAAAUAACUUUUAAAAAAUAAAAAAAUUAUUUUAAUGCAUUUUCAAGUAAAGAACAAUUUUAAAAAGUAACCAUAACCAUAAAUCAAUUAAUAAUAAUAUAUUUUAGUUUAAAAUAUAGUUGCGGUUGGUUUUUAAAGUGCUAUUUAAUUAGGAACGGAGCUUGGAACGGAGCUUCAAUCCUACAACAGUAACGAGUACAUCAGGAUGGUUAUCAGCAACCUGACAUCUGGUAUCCAAGUGAUAUGUUAAUAACCUAAACAUUCUUUCUGUUUUUCAAAUCGAUCAUAGUCUAUAUAUGGUUUCGCUUUACUGUUCCAGGAAAUAUAUAAGGAGGGAUGAAAUUUGGAAUCUCAAACUUGGCUGCAAUGGGCUGUUUUCCUUUCCUGAGAGCACUUAAACGAACUAGAACAAGAAGUUCAGGCUGUAUGGAUGAAGUUACGGUUCUGACAAAGCUACACAAUAGAGAACUCUCUAAGGUCCUUAAAAAGCUUGAGAGACAGCUUAAUGGAUUUAAGUAUUCAAAUUUUGAUUUCUAUACUUCACAUAGUGAAAGAAUAAAUCAUCCCACCGAAUAUGGUAUGUUUUUAUCUACAUGUCAAUUCAGAAUUUCCUGCUCGUGUUUCUCAAAUAACAAGUCUAUCCUAACUGUCAAGUUCAGGGUAUGACUUGUUACUAAUUCUUCUAUACCUAUUUUAAUUUUGAUUGUUGCAACUUGAAUGUGAAGAUUUUAAGGAGAUAAAGUGGCAUGUUGUGGCACUGGUCCGUAUGGAGGUUCCAAGUGUGGUCUGAACAAGUUCGAAUUAUGCGAUAAUGCGAGUGAAUAUCUCUUCUUUGAUGGAAUUCAUCCAGCAGAUGAGGUUCAUAAUCAAUUUGCAAAGUUGUUCUGGAGUGGAAAUCCUGACGUUGGAGGGCCUUACAAUCUCAAAACACUGUUUGAGGAAUAGCAUAAAUGAUAAAACAAGGUGUACUUUUUUCCAGAUGCUGUAUUAGAUAACCCAGAAGCCAAAGUAUACUUGCUUCUCUUUAUUCUAUUUUGACUUGGAAGAAAUGACAUUAGAGGUGAGAGCAGAGUUCUGUUCUUGAGUACAACACUCACAGGAAUCAGAAAGAUCAUAUCUUGGUUUAGUAAUGCACUAGUUUACGAUGUAUCUGAUCAGCUCCUCAAAAUUCAAGAACCCUCUAAAAUCUGGUCUUUUUGAAGAGAUUCUGGGAGUGGCCCAGACUUGACAAUUUUCAACUUUAAAUUCCUGCUCAGAAUGAUAAGCAAAUACUUGACAUCUUAAAGCUUUCUGAAAGAAGAGAUGCUUAAAAUUCUGUUGGAUGUGUGGAAACAAUUGCUGGACCAUAGUGCAAUCUACACAGGUAUUUCUUCACGUACAAAAAUGCACUUAUCGAUUAUGACCUCUUUGAGAGAUCACAAGACCAACACCCUACCGGCAAGAAACUAAACAACUGGAGUCCUUUAAGGUUUGGUUCAACUUCACAAGUUUGAAAUUAAUAAAUAAGUUCUUUACAACCACGCAGAGAAGCUAUCGGCACUAGAUUCUCUACGACCACAUUAUAUUAAGUUAUUAACAAAGGACCAAAGCCAACAACACCUAGAUUUAUCAGCAAAUAUGAGCAAUAAAGUAUGAUCUACCUGUGUGUCCAUUCCACUGCAGAAAGUACUGCAGUCAGCUACAGACUGAUUAAAGACAUCGAAGGUAGCUGUAGAAGCUCUCUUGUAAUGAACCAGCAAAUUGUUAGACCUUAAUUCUGAAGCAGCAUUACAAAAGUUAAAUCAAACAAUAUGUUCAAGAACUAGUGAUAUAGAAGUCUUAGUUCAAGGACUACUAGCAUUUAGACCCAUAGGUCAAGAGAGUUAUGCACCUUUUAGCCUUUAAUUUAUCAGCCUCGUUACAUUGUUGGUGUGGCCUUUCGUUUGUAUUUUUCUCAUGUUCUGUUGGUAUGCUCGACUGGAAAUGAAGCUGAACUUCUUCCUAUUCUUAGGCUUUGGAAAUCAGCCUCAACCUGUCCUCUUUUGAGUUUUGUUUUGGCUUUAGCUUUUGUCAGGCAUUGGUCAACUAAGCAAUGUUGUUGUCAUAAAAUGGUGAUUUGAAGUAUUUUGUAGGCUAGUCUUGAUAUGGCUAGUUCUUGUAGUCUCAGGCCACUAAGAAAAUCUGUAGUAAUUUUCUCUGUAAUGUCAAUAUUAUCAAUGAUCCAAAAAAAAAAAAAGGGGGGGACAUGUCAAUAUUAUCAAUUUAUCAAGGUUGGACAUUGGCAGCUUGGACUAAUCAUUGAUAUCCAUGUCAAGUAAAAGCACAGACGACAAAAGGAAUGGGAAGCGAUAGAAAUAUAUUGAAAACUUGAAUAAACAGAAAACAAAAACACCAAUGCUGAGUAGCCAUGGUGGGAUUUAUAUGCAUACAUUUAUUGAUCGAAAGUAGGGAACAUAUGUUGAUAUAUAACAUGUAUAUAGGGUUAAGGUCCCUGCAGCUUCACUGAAAAUUCAUUCAUUUCCUGGAGGAAUGAACCAAAUUCCAUUAAUCAAACGAGUAGAAGAAACCUGAUCCCAAUAGCAGCAAUUUAUCUAGACUUUUUGGAAUUUUGGGGUAAAUUUGUAUUUUUUCAGCAAUUUAUCUUAUAUACGAGGCAGAGGUUAAAUUCCAAUUCACAGUAGCAGAUUAAAAACACACAGUGUACGUUCAUGUCCAUCUUCAAAAUUCUACUAAGAAUAGGUUACCAAGCCUCGACAAAUUUUAGGUGCUUCAGAACAUCAAAGCAUCACAGUGUUGGUAAGUCUGACUAACUUCUAUCACAACUAAUGAUACCCUAAACUCUCUACCUCUUAACUUGAGAAACUCAGGAAUUAAUCUCCACAUACUGAGCACUAUACAGUUCAAUGGCCCAACAUACUUUAAAUUCAUCUUCUUUGCCAAUCAUUCUUGGAUAUGCAGGUUAACUAGCGAAAGAGGUCUGCCGCACGCAUGCAUCCACCUCUCCAGAUCCAUUAGGUAAUGCAGAAGAAAGCCAUUUAAGGGCAUUAGUGCUUACCUAAGCGUGUCUCCGGGCUGUAAUUUUGGUCCACUCAAUACUGGUGAGAUGCUGAAAUUGUUGCCAUCAGCAUGGAACGAAGGGUGCCCAAGAGGCACUG